RNAcentral lists this ribosomal RNA (301 nucleotides) under uncultured bacterium. RNAcentral describes it as "partial 16S ribosomal RNA". It matches the Rfam family "Bacterial small subunit ribosomal RNA", at positions 509 to 807 of the family's 1533-position model. The record is from RNAcentral.
CAGUCGCCGCGGUAAUACGAAGGGUGCAAGCGUUAAUCGGAAUUACUGGGCGUAAAGCGUGCGUAGGCGGUGAGUUAAGUCUGCUGUGAAAUCCCCGGGCUCAACCUGGGAAUGGCAGUGGAUACUGGCAAGCUAGAGUGUGUCAGAGGAUGGUGGAAUUCCCGGUGUAGCGGUGAAAUGCGUAGAGAUCGGGAGGAACAUCAGUGGCGAAGGCGGCCAUCUGGGACAACACUGACGCUGAGGCACGAAAGCGUGGGGAGCAAACAGGAUUAGAUACCCGCGUAGUCCCUGUCUCUUAUAC